GAGUUUGAUCGUGGCUCAGGACGAACGCUGGCGGCGUGCUUAACACAUGCAAGUCACGGGGGCCCGCAAGGGCAACCGGCGAACGGGUGCGUAACACGUGAGCAACCUACCGAUUUGUGGGGGAUAGCUGGCCUAACGGCCAGGUAAUACCGCAUACGCUCCUUGGGUCACCUGACUCGAGGAGGAAACCUCCGGGGCAGAUCGAGGGGCUCGCGGCCUAUCAGCUAGUUGGCGAGGUCACGGCUCACCAAGGCGACGACGGGUAGCUGGUCUGAGAGGAUGGCCAGCCACAUUGGGACUGAGAAACGGCCCAGACUCCUACGGGAGGCAGCAGUGGGGAAUCUUGCGCAAUGGGCGAAAGCCUGACGCAGCGACGCCGCGUGGGGGAUGACGGGUUUCGGCUUGUAAACCCCUGUUGCCCGGGACGAACUUCUCCUUUCGAGGAGAUUGACGGUACCGGGUGAGGAAGCACCGGCUAACUCUGUGCCAGCAGCCGCCGCCGUAAU
RNAcentral lists this ribosomal RNA (506 nucleotides) under uncultured Gemmatimonadota bacterium. Its description in RNAcentral is "bacterial SSU rRNA". It matches the Rfam family "Bacterial small subunit ribosomal RNA", at positions 9 to 524 of the family's 1533-position model. The record is from RNAcentral. Lineage: Bacteria; Pseudomonadati; Gemmatimonadota.